GGGUGUAUGGUCUAGUGGUAUGAUUUUCGCUUCGCAUUAACUUGCGGAUAACCUGUGAAAGGUCCCCGGUUCAAUCCCGGGUGCAUCCA
Podospora appendiculata is the source of this 89-nucleotide non-coding RNA. NCBI's taxonomy places the organism in Eukaryota, Fungi, Ascomycota, Sordariomycetes, Sordariales, Podosporaceae. The record is from the annotation of a GenBank genome assembly.